RNAcentral lists this non-coding RNA (164 nucleotides) under Gemella sanguinis. RNAcentral describes it as "Staphylococcus sRNA 414". The stretch from base 17 to 155 matches the Rfam family "Staphylococcus sRNA 414", at positions 25 to 163 of the family's 175-position model. From Rfam's summary of the family: Antisense of an annotated CDS (SAOUHSC_1422) but was considered an trans-encoded sRNA rather than a typical antisense RNA. Target prediction revealed enrichment of iron-coding genes and genes with function in cofator metabolism. Lineage: Bacteria; Bacillati; Bacillota; Bacilli; Caryophanales; Gemellaceae. The record is from RNAcentral.
AUGUCUUUAUUUAAUAAUCCUUUUCCAACUAAAUGAAUUAUUUGAUAUUUUUUAGUUAGCUCUUCAAUAUUAUCCCAAAUAUAAUCAUUAAGUAUUUUUGAACCUAAAGAUCCACCCAUUACUAGAAUAACAGGUUUUCCUUCAUUAAAACCUGUAAAUUCAUA